UAGAAACAUGUUGAAGAAAAUCCCAACCUAACCAAAAAUCGUUUUUUAUUUUGGUUGACUGAUGUUUGUUACUUUUUUUUUGGCACGUUUAUUUUAAUUUAAUUUAAUUUACAUUAGGAAAAAAAUUUUAAAAAUUUGCGUUCAUAAUCCCCAACUUAAAUUACAAAUGUAUCCUGUUUUGAGACAUUUACUGCAUAAGGAGGAGAAUCGACGACGGAUCUCAAAUCUAAAAAUUGCAAAAAACUAAAUAAGGAGCUAGUUCUCAAUUUAUUUAACGAAUUGCUCCCACACAUGGGAAAUAGUAAUAGGAAUUCAAGAAUUCCAAAGCAAACAAGAAUUGAUUGCGCAACAACUGUGUAAUCGUUGGAUCUGUUUUAUCCAAACUGAACCAGGAAAUGCUCAAAUUCAAAGAGCUUUUAUGGGAAAAGUUGGAUCCCCGGGAAUUAUUGGCUGUAUAAUAGGACCGCAUGAAAAUGCGGUCUGAUGAUGAUGCUAUGUCGGCAGAAAGAAUUUCAUUACAAAAACAUGAUAAGUGGACGUGACAGAUUAAUAACUGAUGCAUUUAUAUGGCAUGCUUUGGUGAUUGGAAACUCAAUAUGCUGCAGGUGAUUCAGGAUAUGCAUUACAACCUAGGGUCAUGACUUGUGACAAACCUAAAGUACUGUGGAAAGAUGCAUAUGUGUUUUUAAAACUCAAUUUAGGUGCAUAAUGGGAGUCUCAAACUAUAUUAUACUCCUGAGAAAGUUGACAGAAUUAUUUAUGCAUCGCAUUAAUAGAUAUUUUAGACAAUAAAAUAAUCUGAACGCAAACGUUGUAGCAUUUUUAUUAUUAUUUUUUGGUUGCCCACAAAAAAAACAUCACAAGGAAACUAUUAAAAAAAAAACAAAUAUUAACACAGAAAAUGAAGCUAC
Cylas formicarius (sweet potato weevil) is the source of this 911-nucleotide long non-coding RNA. RefSeq lists it as uncharacterized. NCBI's taxonomy places the organism in Eukaryota, Metazoa, Arthropoda, Insecta, Coleoptera, Brentidae. The transcript is spliced from 4 exons. The record is from RefSeq and is a predicted model, not a curated record.